UUCACCGCGAGGUGGAAUCUGAAGAGUCUGAGACGUGCUGUUAGUCCAAAACAUUAUGUGAACCAGAGGUGGCAUCUGUAAAUGGCGAUUCGCCAUAAAAACGAAGAAGCUCAAUGCCGGUAUAAAAACCAUGCAAUCUAGGCCGGAUUUGCAGAUGUGAUUAGGGUUGGAAUGACAGUAAGAUAGAAUA
Non-coding RNA from Halanaerobium kushneri, 190 nucleotides. NCBI's taxonomy places the organism in Bacteria, Bacillati, Bacillota, Clostridia, Halanaerobiales, Halanaerobiaceae. The record is from Rfam.